UCAGAGACAGUCAAUGUCAUUACCCUUUUAUUAGGAUAUGGGAAUACUGUUGUUGA
This 56-nucleotide small RNA is filed under the name uncultured Enterococcus sp. RNAcentral describes it as "Transposase-1 RNA". It matches the Rfam family "Transposase-1 RNA". From Rfam's summary of the family: Lactobacillales (Firmicutes). Environment (Human Microbiome Project, vagina) The record is from RNAcentral. Lineage: Bacteria; Bacillati; Bacillota; Bacilli; Lactobacillales; Enterococcaceae.